Molecule: ribosomal RNA, 1416 nt
Filed under: uncultured organism
Description: 16S ribosomal RNA
Rfam family: Bacterial small subunit ribosomal RNA
Source: RNAcentral
ACACAUGCAAGUCGAACGAAGCACUUUCUCUUAUUUCUUCGGAAUGAAGAUUUUGUGACUGAGUGGCGGACGGGUGAGUAACGCGUGGGUAACCUGCCUCAUACAGGCUGAUAACAGUUGGAAACGACUGCUAAUACCGCAUAAGCGCACAGGGUCGCAUGACCUGGUGUGAAAAACUCCGGUGGUAUGAGAUGGACCCGCGUCUGAUUAGCCAGUUGGUGGGGUAACGGCCUACCAAAGCAACGAUCAGUAGCCGACCUGAGAGGGUGACCGGCCACAUUGGGACUGAGACACGGCCCAAACUCCUACGGGAGGCAGCAGUGGGGAAUAUUGCACAAUGGGGGAAACCCUGAUGCAGCGACGCCGCGUGAGCGAAGAAGUAUUUCGGUAUGUAAAGCUCUAUCAGCAGGGAAGAAGAAAUGACGGUACCUGACUAAGAAGCACCGGCUAAAUACGUGCCAGCAGCCGCGGUAAUACGUAUGGUGCAAGCGUUAUCCGGAUUUACUGGGUGUAAAGGGAGCGCAGGCGGUACGGCAAGUCUGAUGUGAAAGCCCGGGGCUCAACCCCGGUACUGCAUUGGAAACUGUCGGACUAGAGUGUCGGAGGGGUAAGUGGAAUUCCUAGUGUAGCGGUGAAAUGCGUAGAUAUUAGGAGGAACACCAGUGGCGAAGGCGGCUUACUGGACGAUUACUGACGCUGAGGCUCGAAAGCGGGGGGAGCAAACAGGAUUAGAUACCCUGGUAGUCCCCGCCGUAAACGAUGAAUUAUUGGGUGUCGGGGAGCAUUGUUUUUCGGUGCCGCAGCAAACGCAUUAAGUUUUCCACUGGGGGAGUACGUUCGCAAGAAGGAAACUCAAGGGAAUGGACGGGGACCCGCACAAGCGGUGGAGCAUGUGGUUUAAUUCGAAGCAACGCGAAGAACCUUACCAAGUCUUGACAUCCCGAUGACAGAACAUGUAAUGUGUUUUCUCUUCGGAGCAUCGGUGACAGGUGGUGCAUGGUUGUCGUCAGCUCGUGUCGUGAGAUGUUGGGUUAAGUCCCGCAACGAGCGCAACCCCUAUUCUUAGUAGCCAGCGGGUAAGCCGGGCACUCUAGGGAGACUGCCAGGGAUAACCUGGAGGAAGGUGGGGAUGACGUCAAAUCAUCAUGCCCCUUAUGACUUGGGCUACACACGUGCUACAAUGGCGUAAACAAAGGGAAGCGAGCCUGCGAGGGGGAGCAAAUCUCAAAAAUAACGUCUCAGUUCGGACUGCAGUCUGCAACUCGACUGCACGAAGCUGGAAUCGCUAGUAAUCGCGAAUCAGAAUGUCGCGGUGAAGACGUUCCCGGGUCUUGUACACACCGCCCGUCACACCAUGGGAGUUGGUAAUGCCCGAAGUCAGUGACCCACCCGCAAGGGGGGAGCUGCCGAAGGCAG